CUACGGGGUGCAGCAGGCGCGAAACCUUUACAAUGCACGCAAGUGUGAUAAGGGGAUCCUAAGUGCUCAUGCUUCGGUAUGGGCUUUUUUCAAGAGUAAAUAUCUUGGAGAAUAAGUGGUGGGUAAGACUGGUGCCAGCCGCCGCGGUAACACCAGCGCCACAAGUGGCAACCGCGUUUAUUGGGCCUAAAGCGUCCGUAGCCGGUUAAAUGAAUCUUUUGUGAAAUCGUCAGGCUCAACUUGACGGCAUGCAUAAGACACUAUUUAACUCGAGACCGGGAGGAGUCAGAGGUAUUCUUGAGGGAGCGGUAAAAUGUGAUAAUCUCAGGAGGAUCACCUAUGGCGAAGGCAUCUGACCAGAACGGUUCUGACGGUGAGGGACGAAGGCUGGGGGAGCGAUCCGGAUUAGAUACCCUAGUAGUC
RNAcentral lists this ribosomal RNA (423 nucleotides) under uncultured archaeon. Its description in RNAcentral is "partial 16S ribosomal RNA". It matches the Rfam family "Archaeal small subunit ribosomal RNA", at positions 323 to 746 of the family's 1478-position model. The record is from RNAcentral.